CAUGUUCUCUAAGGAGAGAGAAAUCCAGGCUCCUGACUGUUGACGGUGCUGUCCUCUGUGUAUGAAGAUGCUGCUUCUAACCCUUUUACUCCUGUAGUGUGGAUGAGUCUGCCCCAAGUCACCUACAGCUACAUCGGUCCCCCUUGUGGUCAACUGCACUUAUCUGCAAGAUGACCAAAAGACUAUCUGUGGCCUGUGCAAAAAAGCACCAAGGCGACCAGAGUCCUUGGAGGAUGUGAAGGAUGGAUCCAGGCCUUUAGGCCUCAUUACCAUCAGAUAAGCUAAGUGCCUGUAGACACAUUUGUUAGCUUCAUCUUAUCAUUUUAUUUUCCUUCUAGAUGAAGGUGGUUCUGGUAAUGGGUAAAAUAGGAACUCGGAAAUAUGAGCAAUAAGUGGGGGGUGGGGGCAGCAGCUUCCACAGCUCAUCUUCUGAUUGCCCUGGCCCAGCUGGCUGGCUACUAUCCUGUAAGUCUUUCCCUGUAGCCAAGGUCCUGUGCCUCUCCUGGGUAGGUAAGGCUGUGUCUAGGUCCUUCUUUUCCCCCUUGUUCAGGAAAACAAACAAACAAACAAAACAAAACAAAACAAAGAAUCCUUUGGCCUGUUGGGCUCUGAGACAUCUCAGACAUCCUUGGGGAAUGAGGGACAUGACCAUGAUUUUCAAAAGGCUGGGUCAUCCCGGGAAGGAAGUGGGUGUAAGCAGGGUUGAGUAAGGGUUGUUUGUACUGCUCUCCAAGGCCACACUAGGAAGCUUUGGAGUCCCUUCUGAUACAGUGUAUCUUUUAACACUUUUCCCAGCCAAACCAGUGUGGGAGAGAGUACUAAGAACAGAGUCUUCUUCCAGCAUUGUUGCUAUGUAACCCUUGGCCCUGGGAAGCUUGUCUUUUUCACCAAACCCUCAAACCCCUCUGACGGGUGUGUUUGGCAACCUGCUCCUCCAAGUACUCUACAAAAGUUAUUUCACACCUCCUCACCAUAGCCCUGGGAAGGGAGCAAAGAUAAUGCUUCCUAAUGAGUACUUCUUCACCAAUAAGCAUUUAUUAAACAGUCACUGUGUCAAGUCAAGUCAAGACAAAUUUUUUAAGCACUAAGCAAACACGUCAGGCACUGUGCUAAGCAGUGAGAAUACAAAGAGGAAAAAACCAGUCCCAGCUCUCAGGGUGCUCAGUCUAAUAGGGGGAAAAUACAAAGAUAACCAUGUCCAAAUACCUAUCUAUCUAGACACUCACAAUAAGGAAGAUGGGGAAGGUCUUCUUACAGAAUGUGGGAUUUUGGUUAGGACUUCAAGGAGGCCAGGAAGUAGAGAUGAGGAACAGAAUUCCAGGCAUGGGGGACUGUCAGCAGAAUAGCAAGCAGACAGGUUUAGAGGGCAGAGUAUGAAUAUGACAGUAAGGUGUAGGUAGAAAGGGGCCAGAUUGCUAAUCAUUUUAAAUCUAAACAGAAUUUUAUAUGUUUUAUAUGUGACCCCACACAGGGAUACAAGAACAAAAAUCUAAACAACCCCUUGCUCUCAAGUUAUUUUUUUUUUCUUUCUAGGGAGAUAAUACAGUAGACCUUACAUAUAGAAGUGCCUAUGCAAUAAAUACAGAAAUCCAGUCAAUGAUGGGGAGGGAGGGGGAAUUCAGGCAUUUAGGCUCGUAGCUGGAAAAGUGCCACCUGACCUCUCCUAAAGGAUGGAUCCAUUUAGAGAUGGCUAGUUGGUGAUAGACCUGAGUUCAAAUCCUGGCUCAAGAUACUCUAUAAAAUGGGUAUAAUAGCACCUACUUCCAAGGGUUGUUAGGAUAAAAUGAGAUAAUAUUUAUAAAAACUACUACACAAAUGCUAGGUAUUAGGUUGGUUUUUUUGGGGGCGGGGUUAAGGUGGUUAGAAGAAUACUCAUUAGGGUAUUCUAGAACUGAGGAUGGAUAAGAUGAUGUCUAGGACCCUUUCUAAUUCUAGAAAUUUAUGAUUCUUAGACUUCCUAUUACAUGCUCCAAUCAGGCUAAAGUUCAUCAGAGGUGUCUCUUGUGCUUGUGGCCAAUGCUACUGUACCACUUCCCCCCCUCCCCCCUGCCCUGCUGCCCGUGUGCUCUGCCUGGCAGCUGUGGACCUACUGGAGCCACCAGCCAGUGGAACUAAUGUCCUCUAAUGAGAUCCAGGGCUGGAAUAGCCAGGCGGGUUUAUUGUCUUUGGCUGGGUAAUGAGACUCCUCAUAAACCGGGAAAAAUCGGGGCAGCACAGGGGAGGAAAGAGUGUGGGGGCAGGGGACCGAGAAGAGGCUCUGUGUUUUCCAGAUUUCAUCUUCAUGCAGAGGAACUCUUCAGUCUAAUGAGUAUGAACACUUCCCAUCUCCCAUUCCCCCUUUUGGUGGAUCAAGUAUUGGACAUGGAGUCAAGGAAGACCUGGGUUCAAAUCCAAUUUCUGAUCCUGUGUGUGACCUGGGUCUGGGGCUCAGAGGCCAGGAAAUGGGCAAGAUGACUUCUGCAAAGACUUAUUAGUACUGCUCUAUUUGAAGUCUCCAAGUAGGACCAAGACUAGAUCCCAAGGAUUCCCUUUCAGCUCCUGGCUGCUCUUAGGGAGAGGACCCCAGAUGGCCAACAAAGCCCCAGCUGGGCAGGGAGCCAGCAAGAGAAGAUGGGAGUGCCAAAAGGCUCCUCCAUGAAAUGGUACAGAACAAAGGCUUGGCCAUACCUGUUGCUGGGGGAGAAUUUGACCACUGGAGCAUUCAGGUGCCAACAUCUGUGUAAGGAGGCCACCUGACUCUCCCUCCAGUGACUAUUGCUACAAACACAAUUUCCAGUCAGAGGGAGGGGGGCAGCUUUUGGAGGGAGAGAGGAUGGUUCUCCAAGCUGUUCUUGGACUUCUUUACAUCUGUCCCAGGUGGCCUCAAUAAGAGGUUGGAGACUUCUGAGUUCUCUUUCAAGGAGAAAAGAAGGGGCUCACCUUCCUGCUUCCAGUGGAACCGAAGUACCCACUAACCAAAAAGUUAGCACAAAGAAGACCAGAUCCGGGGCCUCAAGGGUAGAGAUGCCAAGUAUGUCUACUCUCUGCAAUCACUCCAGGGCGAGAAGGGGCAAUCGUCAACUAAUCAAGUACUCACAAUGUGAGGCAAGUACAAAGAGUGAAAUGAUUCCUUCUAGAAAUGACCUGACAUUCUAAUGAGAAAGUCAAAAACGUGUAAAAAUAUAUACAUACAGCAUAAAUAUAAAUUUAAUAAAUACAAACAUGUAAAGAAUGGUUUGGGAAGGUGGGCACUAACAGUUGGAGAGGAUCAGGAAAGCCUUUUAGAAGAUGGUCCUUUGAGCUGCAUCUUCAAAGAGAAGGAUUCUAUGAGGUCGAGGAUAAUGUAAAGACAACAAGCAAAUGUUGGAGAAACCCUUCUGAAUGCCCCUCCCAGAAAUUCAGGGAUCAAGACAACUCACUGGAAAAGCCUAGGCAAGGAUGGACCCAAUUUUAACCUCAGAGAAGGGGACAAGGUGGGAGAAGGAGACUUGUCCUCUUUGGCCUCCCUGCCAUAAUUAAUGCUUGGAAUGAAUUUCACAUUCCAGCCAGACUCCUACCACAUACUCUGUAUUUCAGUCUACCUCUCAUCCCUAAGCUUUUGCAUAAGCUGUCCCCCAGGCAUGGAGUGCCAUCCCUCUCAGCCCCACCUCAAAAAGCCUCUGGUUUGGGGUGAGCUAGGUGGUCCAGGGCACCGGCCCUGAAGUCAGGAGGACCUGAAUUCAAAAAGGGCCUCAGACACUUACUAGCUGUGUGACCCUGGGCA
Phascolarctos cinereus (koala) is the source of this 3742-nucleotide non-coding RNA. Lineage: Eukaryota; Metazoa; Chordata; Mammalia; Diprotodontia; Phascolarctidae. The record is from RefSeq and is a predicted model, not a curated record.